UUGAGAGUUAUCUCCACCAUGUGCUGAACAAAUUCAGUGAACCACUGCCCUGUCUUCUUGUCUAUUUUUUAGGGCACAAUCCAGUGAGGGGAUCUCUGCUCUCAAGCUUUUGCUGGUCCCUUGGUACCUCUGCAGUUUCUGUUGCGGUUUGAGUUCCUCUCUCAAUCCCCAGGUCGAUUUGCCCUUGUUCUUCACAGCCAACGCCCAACCUGGUGAUCAUACCCACCGAAACCAACACCCUGCUGUGGCCAAAGCGUUCCAGUGAGUUGCAUGCCCGUGUAGUCUUCGUUCCGUGGUCUUCAAAGAGGCAGGCUGCAUUAGAGGAGAGGACAAAAAGGUACUUUAUGCAAAGGCUGACUUGGGAAAACAAGUACAGGGAGCGUGUACAAUCUGCAAUACAGAAGUGUAAUGCUAGUGAGAAGAGACGAUUGGGGCUGCUUGAAUCUGAGAAAAGACGGGUACAGAGUAGGCUCUUGCAGAUUCAACUUGCUGUGAAGACUGCCUCUAACCAGAGAAAAUCUGAGAGGAGCAAGUUAAAUGAGCAAUUAGAAGAAAAGCUUCAGAAGCAUUUGGCGAGGCUAUGCUUCACACCAUUGGUUAUAUUUAUGUCCAGCAAGCAGCAAGAGAACUCGGAAAAAGUAGAGUUUACAUAGGUGUACCAUUUAUAGCUGAAUGAGUUAGAGACAAAGGACACCACAUUAAAUCACAGGUUAAUGCUGCUUCAGGUUCCAACAACUUGAUAAAGGAGCCAAGGUGGUAGUGGUCUUAUUCAAGCUGGUGGCCUUGCUGCAGAACUGGACGGUGAUGGUAUCACAGAAGGAUAAAGAAAGAGUGGCAGAGCUUAUCAGGAACAUGGUAAACAACAUUGAACAAAAUUAGAGUGUUGUUUUCUCUAUUGUGGUUGAAUUUUGGCUAGGUAGCAGGAGCCUGGUGUUGUUUUGCAUGAACUGCUGAAGGUAAAUGCAGCUGUGGUUGUAUAUUUGUCGCAUUUUUUUGCUGGUAGGUUUUUAGAUGAGUUUGCAUA
Molecule: long non-coding RNA, 1024 nt
Organism: Zea mays
Lineage: Eukaryota; Viridiplantae; Streptophyta; Magnoliopsida; Poales; Poaceae
Exons: 4
Source: RefSeq, a predicted model, not a curated record